Molecule: unclassified non-coding RNA, 223 nt
Filed under: plant metagenome
Description: partial contains small subunit ribosomal RNA and internal transcribed spacer 1
Rfam family: Eukaryotic small subunit ribosomal RNA (bases 1-45)
Source: RNAcentral
AGUCGUAACAAGGUUUCCGUAGGUGAACCUGCGGAAGGAUCAUUAAUGAAGUCUGGGCUUCGGCCCUCUCUCUUCUACACACUUGUGAACCUACACUGUUGCUUUGGCAGGUCUCCGGAGGGGGUUUCAAACCCUCGAAGGUCAGGUCGAAAAGACGCCUGCCAAAGACAUUUAUCUACCCUUUUUUAUUGUCUGAUUUUUGUUUUAAACAAACCAUAAAAAG